This 378-nucleotide ribosomal RNA is filed under the name uncultured bacterium. RNAcentral describes it as "bacterial SSU rRNA". It matches the Rfam family "Bacterial small subunit ribosomal RNA", at positions 521 to 896 of the family's 1533-position model. The record is from RNAcentral.
UCAUACGUAGGACCCAAGCGUUAUCCGGAUUGACUGGGCGUAAAGAGUUGCGUAGGUGGUUUGUUAAGCGAAUAGUGAAAUCUUGUGGCUCAACCAUAAGGCUAUUGUUCGAACUGGCAAACUCGAGAAUGGAAGAGGUAUCUGGAAUUCCCAGUGUAGGAGUGAAAUCCGUAGAUAUUGGGAGGAACACCAAUGGCGUAGGCAGGAUACUGGUCCAUUUCUGACACUAAGGCACGAAAGCGUGGGGAGCGAACGGGAUUAGAUACCCCGGUAGUCCACGCCGUAAACUAUGGAUGCUAGCUGUUAGCCGUAUCGACCCGGUUAGUAGCGAAGCUAACGCGUUAAGCAUCCCGCCUGAGUAGUACGGUCGCAAGACUA